UGGGUGAUCUGCCCUGCACUUUGGGAUAAGCCUGGGAAACUGGGUCUAAUACCGAAUACACCUUGCUGGCCGCAUGGUCUGGUUGGGGAAAGCUUUUGCGGUGUGGGAUGGGCCCGCGGCCUAUCAGCUUGUUGGUGGGGUGAUGGCCUACCAAGGCGACGACGGGUAGCCGGCCUGAGAGGGUGUCCGGCCACACUGGGACUGAGAUACGGCCCAGACCUCCGUACGGGAGGCA
Molecule: ribosomal RNA, 235 nt
Filed under: uncultured bacterium
Lineage: Bacteria
Description: partial 16S ribosomal RNA
Rfam family: Bacterial small subunit ribosomal RNA
Source: RNAcentral